RNAcentral lists this long non-coding RNA (3855 nucleotides) under Citrus x clementina. RNAcentral's name for it is "Citrus clementina (C. clementina) long non-coding RNA (CCLE_LNC006331)". The record is from RNAcentral. Lineage: Eukaryota; Viridiplantae; Streptophyta; Magnoliopsida; Sapindales; Rutaceae.
CGUGUGCCAAAAAUAGGCCGCGGGCAUAGCCGCACCCAAAAAUAACCGCCCGAAGGCCGGGGCGCAAGUUCGUCCAGCGGAAAAAGGCCACAAAAACGGGUGGGCUAUAGCCUUGGGGGGUGGGGCUGGCCAACUUCGUCCGCCGGACUCGGAAUGGCGCGAGACUUUGCGAGGCGCCUCCGUGUGGCAAAAAUAGGCCGCGGGCACAGCUGUGUCUAAAAGUAACCACCCGAAGGCCGGGGCGCCAAGUUCAUCCAGCGGAAAAAGCCGACAAAACGGGUGGGCUAUAGCCUUGGGGGGUGGGGCUGGCCAACUUCGUCCGCCGGACUCGGAAUGGCGCGAGACUUUGCGAGGCACCUCCGUGUGCCAAAAAUAAGCCACGGGCACAGCCGCGCCCAAAAAUAACUGCCCGAAGGCCGGGGAACCAAGUUCGUCCAGCGGAAAAAGGCCACAAAAACGGGUGGGCUAUAGCCUUGGGGGGUGGGGCUGGCCAACUUCGUCCGCCGGACUCGGAAUGGCGUGAGACUUUACGAGGCACCUCCGUGUGCCAAAAAUAGGCCGCGGGGAAAGCCGCGCCCAAAAAUAACCACCCGAAGGCCGGGGCGCCAAGUUCAUCCAGCGGAAAAAGGCCACAAAAACGGGUGGGCUAUAGCCUUUGGGGGUGGGGCUGGCCAACUUCGUUCGCCGGACUCGGAAUGGCGUGAGACUUUGCGAGGCACCUCCGUUUACCAAAAAUAGGCAGCGGGCAGAGCCGCGCCCAAAAAUAACCGCCCGAAGGCCGGGGCGCCAAGUUCGUCCAGCGGAAAAAGGCCACAAAAACGGGUGGGCUAUAGCCUUGGGGGGUGGGGCUGGCCAACUUCGUCCGCCGGACGCGGAAUGGCGCGAGACAGUGCAAGGCACCUCUGUGUGCCAAAACUUGGCCGCGGGCACAGCCGCGCCCAAAAAUAACCGCCCGAAGGCCGGGGCGCCAAGUUCGUCCAGUGGAAAAAGGCCACAAAAACGGGUGGGCUAUAGCCUUGGGGGGUGGCGCUGGCCAACUUCGUCCGCCGGACUCGGAAUGGCGCGAGACUUUGCGAGGCGCCUCCGUGCACCAAAAUAAGCCACGGACACAGCCGCACGCAAAAAUAACUGCCCGAAGGCCGGGGCGCCAAGUUCAUCCACCGGAAAAAGGCCACAAAAACGGGUGGGCUAUAGCCUUGGGGGGUGGGGCUGGCCCACUUCGUCCGCCGGACUCGGAAUGGCGCGAAUCUUUACGAGGCGCCACCGUGUGCCAAAAAUAGGCCGCGGGCAAAGCCGCGCCCAAAAAUAUCCGCCCUAAGGCCGGGGCGCCGAGUUCGUCCAGCGGAAAAAGGCCACAAAAACGGGUGGGCUAUAGCCUUGGGGGGUGGGGCUGGCCAACUUCGUCCGCGGGACUCGGAAUGGCGUGAGACAUUGCGAGGCGCCUCCGUGUGCCAAAAAUAGGCUGCGGACAAAGCCGUGCCCAAAAAUAACCACCCGAAGGCCGGGGCGCCACGUUCAUCCAGCGGAAAAAGGCCACAAAAACGGGUGGGCUAUAGCCUUUGGGGGUGGGGCUGGCCACCUUCGUCCGCCGGACUCGGAAUGGCGCGAGAGUUUGCGAGGCACCUCCAUGUGCCAAAAAUAGGCCGCGGGCACAGCCGCGCCCAAAAAUAACCACCCGAAGGCCGGGGCGCGAAGUUCGUCCCGCGGAAAAAGCCGACAAAAAUGGGUGGGCUAUAGCCUUGGGGGGUGAGGCUGGCCAACUUCGUCCGCCGGACUCGGAAUGGCGUGAGACUUUUCGAGGCACCUCUGUUUGCCAAAAAUAAGUUGCGGGCACAGCCGCGCCCAAAAAUAACCGCCCGAAGGACGGGGCGCCAAGUUCGUCCAGCGGAAAAAGGCCACAAAAAUGGGUGGGCUAUAGCCUUGGGGGGUGGGGCUGGCCAACUUCGUCCGCCGGACUCGGAAUGGCGCGAGACAGUGUAAGGCGCCUCCAUGUGCCAAAAAUUGGCCGCGGGCACAGCCGCGCCCAAAAAUAACCGCCCGAAGGCCGGGGCGCCAAGUUCGUCCAGUGGAAAAAGGCCACAAAAACGGGUGGGCUAUACCCUUGGGGGGUGGCGCUGGCCAACUUCGUCCCCCGGACUCGGAAUGGCGCGAGACUUUGCGAGGCACCUCCGUGCACCAAAAUAAGCCGUGGACACAGCCGCGCCCAAAAAUAACUGCCCGAAGGCCGGGGCGCCAAGUUCAUCCACCGGAAAAAGGCCACAAAAACGGGUGGGCUAUAGCCUUGGGGGGUGGGGCUGGCCAACUUCGUCCGCCGGACUCGGAAUGGCGCGAGACUUUGCGAGUGGACUCCGUGUGCCGAAAAUAGGACGUGGGUACAGCCGCGCCCAAAAAAAACCACCUGAAGGCCGGGGCGCCAAGUUCGUCCAGCGGAAAAAGGCCACAAAAACGGGUGGUUUUAGCCCUGGGGGGGGGGUUGGCCCACUUUGUCCGCCGGAUUGGAAUGGCGCGAGACUUUGCGAGUGGCUCCCUGUGCCGAAAAUAGGAGUGGGUACAGCCGCGCCCAAAAAUAACCACCUGAGGGCCGGGGCGCCAAGUUCGUCCAGCGGAAAAAGGCCACAAAAACGGGUGGGCUAUAGCCUUGGGGGGUGGGGCUGGCCCACUUCGUCCGCCGGACUCGGAAUGGGGCGACACUUUGCGAGCGGCCUUUGUGUGCCAAAAAUAGGCCGCGGGCACAGCCGCGCCCAAAAAAAACCCCCCGAAGGCCGGGGCGCCAAGUUCGUCCUGCGGAAAAAGGCCACAAAAACGGGUGGGCAAUAGCCUUGGGGGUGGGGCUGGCCAACUUCGUCCGCCGGACUCGGAAUGGAACGAGACUUUCCGAGGCACCUCUGUGUGCCAAAAAUAGGCCGAGGGCACAGCCACGCCCAAAAAUAACCGCCCGAAGGCCGGGGCGCCGAGUUCGUCCAGCGGAAAAAGGCCACAAAAACGGGUGGGCUAUAGCCUUGGGGGGGUGGGCCUGGCCAACUUCGUCCGCCGGACUCGGAAUGGCGCGAGAGUUUGCGAGGCACGUCCAUGUGCCAAAAAUAGGCCGCGGGCACAGCCGCGCCCAAAAAUAACCAACCGAAGGCUGGGGCGCCAAGUUCGUCCCGCGGAAAAAGCCGACAAAAACGGGUGGGCUAUAGCCUUGGGGGGUGGGGCUGGCCAACUUCGUCCGCCGGACUCGGAAUGGCGUGAGACUUUUCGAGGCACCUCCGUUUGCUAAAAAUAGGCCGCGGGCACAGCCGCGCCCAAAAAUAACCGCCCGAAGGCCGGGGCGCCAAGUUCGUCCAGCGGAAAAAGGCCAUUAAAACUGGUGGGCUAUAACCUUGGGGGGUGAUGCUGGCCCACUUCGUCCGCCGGACUCGGAAUGCCGCGAGACUUUGCGAGGGGCCUCCGUGUGCCAAAAAUAGGCCGCGGGCAAAGCCGCGCCCAAAAAUAACUGCCCGAAGGCCGGGGCGCCAAGUUCGUCCAGCGGAAAAAGGCCACAAAAACGGGUGGGCUAUAGCCUUGGGGGGUGGGGCUGGCCAACUUCGUCCGCCGCACUCCGAAUGCCGCGAGCCUUUGCGAGGGGCCUCUGUGUGCUGAAAAUAGGCCGCCGGCAAAGCCGCGUCCAAAAUUAACUGCCCGAAGGCCGGGUCGCCAUGUUCGUCCAGCGGAAAAAGGCUACAAAAACAGGUGGGCUAUAGCCUAGGGGGGUGGGGCUGGCCAACUUCGUCCGCCGGACUACGAAUGCCGCGAGACUUUGCGAGGGGCCUCCGUGUACCAAAAAUAGGCCGCGGGCAAAGCCGCGCCCAAAAUUAACCGCCCGAAGGCUGGGGC